Molecule: ribosomal RNA, 253 nt
Filed under: uncultured bacterium
Lineage: Bacteria
Description: partial 16S ribosomal RNA
Rfam family: Bacterial small subunit ribosomal RNA
Source: RNAcentral
UACGAAGGGGGCUAGCGUUGUUCGGAAUUACUGGGCGUAAAGCGCGUGUAGGCGGGUCUUUAAGUCAGGGGUGAAAUGCCAAGGCUCAACCUUGGAACUGCCUUUGAUACUGGAGACCUUGAGUCCGGGAGAGGUGAGUGGAAUUGCGAGUGUAGAGGUGAAAUUCGUAGAUAUUCGCAAGAACACCAGUGGCGAAGGCGGCUCACUGGCCCGGUACUGACGCUGAGGUGCAAAAGCGUGGGGAGCAAACAGG